Molecule: non-coding RNA, 74 nt
Organism: Podarcis lilfordi (Lilford's wall lizard)
Lineage: Eukaryota; Metazoa; Chordata; Lepidosauria; Squamata; Lacertidae
Source: the annotation of a GenBank genome assembly
GCCUGGUUAGCUCAGCUGGUUAGAACAUGGUGCUGGAAACACCAAGGUUUCAGGUUCGACUCCCAUAUGGGACA